GUGACUGCAGGACACAUGAACACCGACAAGUUGAACGCAUAUUGCACAUCGUACAACAGUACGAUGUACACAUUUUUGAGUGCCUAUAUUUAUCUAUUCAACUAUACGUGUGUGCGCGUUUCACUUCGGGUGGACAGGCGCACGGCCCAUAAGCACGUAUGCGUAGUGAUGCGUUGCCCGCCUUCGGUGGCGGUCAAACAUUGAAGAUAGUCAGGCGCGGCGUCCUCGCGACGACGUGGUUGAUGAAUACAUCCCAUAUGCCACACCAUCGCGUUGGAUAUGUUGUAUUCCAUCACACACAAUAGUAAUACCUAUGAGGCCUCAAAUAAU
This 330-nucleotide ribosomal RNA is filed under the name Aedes sp. 1 NDD-2008. Its description in RNAcentral is "eukaryotic LSU rRNA". The stretch from base 1 to 85 matches the Rfam family "5.8S ribosomal RNA", at positions 67 to 154 of the family's 154-position model. Lineage: Eukaryota; Metazoa; Arthropoda; Insecta; Diptera; Culicidae. The record is from RNAcentral.